GGAGCUGUGCCCGAGCUUUAAGGACCACUUUGAUAGAGUGUAUCACGGGGGUUAAAAUCCCCCCAGCUCCU
This 71-nucleotide transfer RNA is filed under the name Stephanolepis cirrhifer (thread-sail filefish). RNAcentral describes it as "tRNA-Ile". It matches the Rfam family "tRNA". From Rfam's summary of the family: Transfer RNA (tRNA) molecules are approximately 80 nucleotides in length. Their secondary structure includes four short double-helical elements and three loops (D, anti-codon, and T loops). RNAcentral also lists the same sequence under 2 other names. Lineage: Eukaryota; Metazoa; Chordata; Actinopteri; Tetraodontiformes; Monacanthidae. The record is from RNAcentral.